Molecule: long non-coding RNA, 956 nt
Filed under: Homo sapiens (human)
Lineage: Eukaryota; Metazoa; Chordata; Mammalia; Primates; Hominidae
Description: HSALNT0406739
Source: RNAcentral
GGGGCAGCCCCACCACACGGGUCAAGGCCGGGAGCCUCUUCUGCAGGCCCUGGAGCUGGUGACCGGGGAGCAAGGGCCCUGCGAGCCUGGCCUCUGCUGAGGGCCGGGACUCACCUCCUUGUCUGUGAGCCGGAAGUCGUUCGGAUACACCAGCUGCAGAGGAAGACAGAGUGCUUGGUGACACCAUCUGUCCGAGGAGGCGACACCCCUCGACAGCAUCUGCUGGACUGUGACCGUCCCAGCAGCUGCAGCAUCUGUCUGUGGGGCGCAGGUCAGUGCCCAAGGUGCUGGCUCGCCCCCUGCUCCCUGUUCCAACAGCACGCUGCAUCCUCCCCACACCAUAUUCUCUGUGUUCCAACAGCAUGCUGCAUCCUCCCCACACCACCUUCUCUGGCUGUGAUGUCUGGCUCCUUGCUGACCCGCUCCUAUCUCUGACCUCCAGGCACCAGGCCCCGGGCAACUCCCCUGCCGGCCAGAGGCUUCUCUACUCCCACCUCCCCAGGCCCCUCUCAGUAAGAGGCCAGCACAAUUGGGGCCUGUGCCCCACCUGUAGCGCCCAGCCGGACAAGGCCUGCACCCCCAGGAGUGGACAGUGGAGGAGAGCAUGAUGCUAAGCAGGCGCUGAAUGACUUGGAAGACAGGUGUGCGCUGACAGAGGCGGCAGGUGGGGCAGAGUAAGUCUCUCUAAGGACCCUGUCCUGGUUACUUCUGCCUCCCAGCACCUGGCACAGAACAGACCCUCCCCAAAUACAGUGUUCGUGGAAUGUGUGAAGAGGUCUCUGAGGUUUACUAGAACAGGUACAGCAUGGCUCCCAGAAGCCGCGGUGUGUCCUGUCCUAGAGGGCUGAAUGCAGUGCUGAUGAGAAUCCAGCUGUUUUCCAUUUGGUCGGACUUUUUAUUUUUUAUUUAUUUAUUUUUUGAGACGGGGUCUUGCUCUGUCACCAGGCUGGAGUGCA